Molecule: long non-coding RNA, 798 nt
Organism: Panicum virgatum (switchgrass)
Lineage: Eukaryota; Viridiplantae; Streptophyta; Magnoliopsida; Poales; Poaceae
Exons: 5
Source: RefSeq, a predicted model, not a curated record
AGUCUUCCACCUAUAGCUCAGCCAAUUCAAAUAUUGUUCUUACAAUAUGAGGAUGAAACUCAGCAAAAUUUUCAACAGAAGACACUACUACAACUGAAGACAUAGAUCCUUUCAUCGAAAAGGAUAAGAAAUAUGAAUGCACUGUUACAAUUACUGGAGUAAAAGAAAACUAGCCGUGGUGCUAUAGGGCUUGCACAAUUGAUAAUCAUAAUGUCAAGCUUGAGGAUAAUACAUUUACAUGCACCAAACAAGGCUGCACAAAUAGCAAAUUUGAUUGGAAGUACAAGAUACCAUUCAUAGCAACUGAUGGAACAUACACUCUUGAAUUCAUGGUUUUUGACAAGCGAGGAACAUAAUUACUUGGAAAAAAUGCGGACAUUCUUCGGAAGCAGUAUGACUUCAUGCAAACUCCUGCUGAAGUGCUUGCAUAUAUAGGACAUAAAUUCACCUUUAUAGUCAAGGUCUUAUACAAAAGCAUAGAUGCACCUGAACCUUCAUUUGAAGUUGUUGUCAUCAAAGAAAAAUUUGGAAAGCAGCCAAUCCUUCCUAAAUCGGAAGUAUACCAAGUGUUAUCAAUGGGAUCCACCUCAAGCACAUUGGCACUGCAUGAAAAUCUACCACCACUUAUUCCUAUAGGAUCCAAAACGAGUGACCAUCAGGUUACCCAACCCAUUAAAGAAAUAGAAAACAUGGACCUUGAUGAGGAAAUCGGCAACACUAAACAGCAACUCGAAGAAGAUAGUUCAAGCAAUGCUCCAAUCUAUCCAAGCUCCAAAAAGCAACGCUUGGAUAAUCACU